This 3314-nucleotide long non-coding RNA is filed under the name Eucalyptus grandis. RNAcentral describes it as "long non-coding RNA (EGRA_LNC006257)". The record is from RNAcentral. Lineage: Eukaryota; Viridiplantae; Streptophyta; Magnoliopsida; Myrtales; Myrtaceae.
CAGUUUACAUGGAUUCCAACCUUUUAUUUCAUCCCAUUUAGAAGAGACAAUAUUGGAAAUUUUGUGGGGCCUAUGAUAAUGAUAGGUGGCCAAAAUUUCCAUGGAAAAAUACGCCAAAAGCUGAAGGAAAUUUCAAUGAAACUUCCAAGCAAUUUCCUCUCUCAUUCCCCACCAUUUACUCACGCAUGGACGUCUGCUGUAUUUUACGAUGGCAACUUCCACAUUUUCCUUUCUUCCUCUUAUUUUAUUCUUCUCCCUUGUCUCUUUCAACGUACAAGCUGUUGCUUUCUCUUCCCUUGAAUGUGCAACUUCCAUUUCUGCUCCCUCCUGAACGACAAACCGGAGACUAAGAAACAAAACAGAGCAAGGCGUGAACGUGACGUUACCAAAAGUUCUUGGACCCACAUAAACGUCGAUCGCCUACCACCAUGGUUUUUAUAUAAAGGUUGUCGCGACCCGACCUCGCCGCCCCUCGAAAUGUCCAAGGAGGGGAAAGGUCGGGUUUAGGGGUACUUGAUCUCAAGAUCGCGAGCUCUCCCAAGCUCGUACCCCGCGUGACAGCGGAUUUAUUAUACGAUCUAGGUAUUUAACAACUUAAAAAAUAUACAGGAGUCGCCACUAGCCUCAUUUUGGGGGUCGGCUAGAAACCCAAUCGAGGGUCGGGAGUGUUCCCUCGAUUUCUACAUAACCAGAUAUCUAGGUUUGGGGACUUGGGUUACGCUAAUAUUGUUAUUAGCGCCCUUUCGGUACCUAAAUAAUAUGUUGUGUUUUUUUUAACAUGUUAAUGCAUCUCUUUUUAUAUUUUCAGGAUCGUCAAUUCUAUACUAAAUGAUCAUGGGUGGUGGAUUACUUUCAUUCUAUUCUAUUCCUAAGAAAUGAAAAGAAAACCAUUAAUGAAAAUUAAAUUGCAAAACAUGAAGUAACAAUCAAGAGAAAACAGUAAACCUAAUCAUGCAAUUCUAAAGAAUAUAAAAGAGAAAACAAUUGAGAAAUAAAGGAAACCCGCAACACGUCGGGCUUUAUACAAUGCAUGGAACCCAAGACAUAUGUCGAGAGAGAAAUGAAUAUUACAUAAUAACGGUCGGAGUGGACAUCGACCUACACCAUCUUCACACCUUCUUCACCUUCGGAAUUCUAAUCUAAUCAUAGCCUAAAAAUAUAUAUAUAUAACUAGGUGCGUACAAAUAAAAGAAACAAUCAAACACAUCAAGCAACAAAAAAAAAAACAAUACAUCAUAUCAAAAUUAAUUGUUUAAAAGAAGUACAACACAAAAGUCAAGUUUUGAGCGAUAUCCUAAAGUUUAGUAUUGAUAUGUGUUGCACCAAAAUCAUUCAUCAAAUGACCACAUGCAAAGCAUAUAAUAUGACAGGCAUCCAAGCCAUAUAACUUUGGUUCUCGGUUAAUUAAACAAAUGAAUUAGCUGACAAAAGAUCAUUCACCAAACAAUAUGCAUCAUUGAACAUGUUCACGCUACAUGUAUAUCCAUCUAAUCUAUGCUUAAUCCACAACUUCCAACAUGCAAUCAGAAUUGUAGCAGAGCACAUGAGACUAUAAAUUGUAAUUGUUUGAUGAUAAAUCGCCAUGAAAUUGAAGCCAUAUCUUACCACAAGCACAUAUGAGUCUUUUUGAUCAAAAUGACAUUAAUUCAUAACCAAACUAACCUCAAGUUAGAAUCAAAUGCACACCCAAUCAUGGUAACAAUUUUCAUGGAAAAAGCUUUUUUUAACAUGAGCUACAUAGAAGUUAAAGAAAGUUCAAGAAUGCACAAUAUCACGUCGGAAUUGCAGCAAAACAACAAGAUGUUAUGACACAUUAAUAGUGAUUUGACCUAAAAAUUAAAUCUGAAGAAUAUGAAAUUUUACCACAGCACGAACAAAAGAGAGACAAAUAGCUUUUAUUAAGGAUCCAAUCUUAGAAUUCCUUAACAAGAAAAUCAUAGAAAAAUGACGAGGUCAGCUUUGACAAGGGAAAAACAGGGGUCAUGAAUUUCAUUUUAUGACAGAUUUCUAUCAUGCGAAUCACAAGAGAAGUUGAGUCAAAUUGUUAUACAAAUCAUGUGAAAUCAGCAUCAUAGGAACAAAUUUCACGAUGAAGCUUCUCAAAAUUUUUAACACGUGAAUUUCUAAAAGUUUAAGAACAUGAACAAGUCAAUCAAGAAUAGAACAUAGUAGCAUGUAACAUAGGUAUUUUACAACAUAGUGAAUGCAAUUGGACACAUCUAUUAUCUCAUUUCAAGACUAACAGCAACUAUCCAUAGAAAAGACAACAUUUCCCUAAUCAAAUCAACUCCAACAAUUCUGAAAAAAAAAAAAAAAAUAGCAUGCCCAACAAUCACAACAGCAGUAUCUCAAAUCAAGAAAUCAGUAUAACAUUUGAACCAAAAGUUUCGUGAUCCUGUCCAUCUUUCCCUUCUGAACAAACAUUUACAAAAUGCAUGUCACCAAUAACCUUGAAGUACUUUAUAGGACAAAUUGCAAAACCAGCAAGCAAAUGCAUUUCAAAACAAAACCCUUAGGCGAGUCAGUCAAGCAAACAUUAGAAGAGAGUAGUCAUUUCAAGACAUGAAACUUGCAACUAUUAUGAAGGAAUCUACUCUUGAACCCAGAUUGCAUGAUUUGAUUAAUACCAAAGACACUCAAAUCAGCAAUAUGAACUCUAUAGAGUAAAGCAUGAACAGCAAACAUCAAUUGCAUAUGAUCUGCAUUUAACCCACUAAAAGCACACAUAAUCGCAUUCUAGUAAUCUUUAUAUGGGAAAUGCAGUAAGACACAAGCAUUACAACUUUAAUGGGACAUUGAAACGUAGGUAAACAUGAUGCAAUAGGGAUUAACUAUUUAUGACUAAGCCAAAAAUCACAAAAAAAAAAAAAAACACAGCAUGCAGAUUGAAGACCAAUUUUUACUAAAAACAAAUUAGAUUUCGAAUAUGCCAUUGGUGGGGGAAAACAGAGAGAGACCAAUCGAGCGAGAAAGAGCGAUCGCAAUUGAGUCAGAGAACAUUUCAAGAGAGAGAGCACGGCAGUUCGUGCGUGAGACAGAGCAAUUAAGAGAUAGAGAAAAACCUGAUCAAGCUAGAGAUAGAAAGCCGCUGUCACCGAUCAAUUUUGGAGCUCUAUCUUUGGAGUCCCACUCGGCGCGAACCUGAACCCCUGUAUGUCGAGCUCCGGAAGGGCGUGAUCCGCAACGAGGGCGUCCGAAUGAGAGAGAGAGAUCAGAAUCCACGACUCGAACGGAUUCAAAGAGAGAACAGAAAUCGAAACCCUAACAGAUUGAGAAUGAUGGAAAGAGAGCUCACCGAUCAACUUCAAAUCUAU